RNAcentral lists this ribosomal RNA (253 nucleotides) under uncultured bacterium. RNAcentral's name for it is "partial 16S ribosomal RNA". It matches the Rfam family "Bacterial small subunit ribosomal RNA", at positions 524 to 776 of the family's 1533-position model. The record is from RNAcentral.
UACGUAGGGUGCGAGCGUUAAUCGGAAUUACUGGGCGUAAAGCGUGCGUAGGCGGUUCGUUAAGUCAGCUGUGAAAGCCCCGGGCUCAACCUGGGAACUGCGGUUGAAACUGGCGAACUAGAAUCUGGCAGAGGGGGGUGGAAUUCCACGUGUAGCAGUGAAAUGCGUAGAGAUGUGGAGGAACACCGAUGGCGAAGGCAGCCCCCUGGGCCAACACUGACGCUCAGGCACGAAAGCGUGGGGAGCAAACAGG